Molecule: non-coding RNA, 70 nt
Organism: Potamilus streckersoni
Lineage: Eukaryota; Metazoa; Mollusca; Bivalvia; Unionida; Unionidae
Source: the annotation of a GenBank genome assembly
UAUUAGUUUAUUGGUUAGAGUGUCAGCCUCAGAUGCGGGAGGUCGUGGGUUCAAUCUCCAGCAGUGUCAU